GACGAACGCUGGCGGCGUGCUUAACACAUGCAAGUCGAACGGAAAGGCCUGCUUUCCCUUGUGGAUUGCGGGUACUCGAGUGGCGAACGGGUGAGUAACACGUGAGUGAUCUGCCCCCAACUUGGGUAUAAGCCUGGGAAACUGGGUCUAAUUCCCGAUAGGACUGCAGGGUGGUGCCUGUGGUGGAAAACGAUUUUCUAGUGGUUGGGGAUGAGCUCGCGGCCUAUCAGCUUGUUGGUGGGGUAAUGGCCUACCAAGGCGGCGACGGGUAGCCGGCCUGAGAGGGUGGACGGCCACAUUGGGACUGAGAUACGGCCCAGACUCAUACGGGAGGCAGCAGUGGGGAAUAUUGCACAAUGGGCGGAAGCCUGAUGCAGCGACGCCGCGUGGGGGAUGACGGCCUUCGGGUUGUAAACUCCUUUCGACCGCGAGGAAGCCACCUGGUUGGAAGGGUGGUGACGGUAGUGGUAGAAGAAGCACCGGCUAACUACGUG
Molecule: ribosomal RNA, 494 nt
Filed under: uncultured bacterium
Lineage: Bacteria
Description: partial 16S ribosomal RNA
Rfam family: Bacterial small subunit ribosomal RNA
Source: RNAcentral